RNAcentral lists this long non-coding RNA (590 nucleotides) under Vigna radiata. RNAcentral describes it as "long non-coding RNA (VRAD_LNC017582)". Lineage: Eukaryota; Viridiplantae; Streptophyta; Magnoliopsida; Fabales; Fabaceae. The record is from RNAcentral.
AGCCUCUAAUAUGAACACUCAAACACAUAUGCAUGUUCAAAUCAAAAGGUCUUUUCAUGGUUGUAAUGGGGCCAAGGACAAGGGAGGAUACAUCUGGAUAAAAAGCUACAAACCAAAAGGAAUAGAGGAGCAAUGGGGAACAAGUGUAAACACCUUCAAACACACCCACAACCUCUAAUUCCAUCAUCUUCUUGACUCCAUUAUUCAUAAAAAUUUUUUCUGUAUUUUUCCUUUUUUUUUUUUUUAUUUUGUCUCUUUUCUUUUUCUAUUCAACAUACAAUUCAAAAGACAAGAUACAUAAUAUUUACAAUGCAAUUGCAAGAAGAAGACUCACUAGCCAAUUCAUCUGCAACUCCUAAGAGACCACACUUAUUCCCAAAACAAUUCCAAAGCUCCAAAAUUCCCUAAGGUUCAGGUAAUCAUGGUUUUUCACUUAGGCUAUUGUAUGAGCUUCAAAACAAAGAAAUGGGGGAAGUAUAGGCUCAAGGGGGCUAACAAAGAAAUCAUAACAGGGUAGGCUAUCUGGCUAGAGAGGCUCAAUCAACAAAAUGCCUUUAUCAUUUUCAAACAUGCUCAUGAAUCAAGAAUUA